Molecule: ribosomal RNA, 744 nt
Filed under: Teratosphaeria complicata
Lineage: Eukaryota; Fungi; Ascomycota; Dothideomycetes; Mycosphaerellales; Teratosphaeriaceae
Description: eukaryotic LSU rRNA
Rfam family: Eukaryotic large subunit ribosomal RNA
Source: RNAcentral
GAAGCGGCAACAGCUCAAAUUUGAAAUCUGGCGCAAGCCCGAGUUGUAAUUUGUAGAGGAUGCUUCAGGGCAGCGGCCGGUCUAAGUUCCUUGGAACAGGACGUCGUAGAGGGUGAGAAUCCCGUAUGCGACCGGUUGGCACCCGUCACGUAGCUCCUUCGACGAGUCGAGUUGUUUGGGAAUGCAGCUCUAAAUGGGAGGUAAAUUUCUUCUAAAGCUAAAUACCGGCCAGAGACCGAUAGCGCACAAGUAGAGUGAUCGAAAGAUGAAAAGCACUUUGGAAAGAGAGUUAAAAAGCACGUGAAAUUGUUGAAAGGGAAGCGCAUGCAACCAGACUUGUCGGCGGUGUUCCGCCGGUCUUCUGACCGGUCUAUUCGCCGCCGGCAGGCCAGCAUCAUCUGGGCGCGCCGGAUAAAGGCGUGGGGAAUGUAGCUCCUCGGAGUGUUAUAGCCCCGCGCACAAUACGGCGCCGCCCGGGUGAGGUCCGCGCUUCGGCUAGGAUGCUGGCGUAAUGGUUGUCUGCGGCCCGUCUUGAAACACGGACCAAGGAGUCUAACAUCUAUGCGAGUGUUCGGGUGUCAAACCCCUACGCGUAAUGAAAGUGAACGGAGGUGGGAAGCGCAAGCUGCACCAUCGACCGAUCCUGAUGUCUUCGGAUGGAUUUGAGUAAGAGCAUAGCUGUUGGGACCCGAAAGAUGGUGAACUAUGCCUGAAUAGGGUGAAGCCAGAGGAAACUCUGGUGGA